RNAcentral lists this transfer RNA (87 nucleotides) under Gemmataceae bacterium. RNAcentral describes it as "tRNA-Ser". It matches the Rfam family "tRNA". Rfam says of the family: Transfer RNA (tRNA) molecules are approximately 80 nucleotides in length. The record is from RNAcentral. Lineage: Bacteria; Pseudomonadati; Planctomycetota; Planctomycetia; Gemmatales; Gemmataceae.
GGAGGGGUGGCAGAGCGGCUGAUUGCGUCGGUCUCGAAAACCGAAAUACCUGUAAGGGUAUCGUGGGUUCAAAUCCCUCCCCCUCCG